Podarcis lilfordi (Lilford's wall lizard) is the source of this 74-nucleotide non-coding RNA. The record is from the annotation of a GenBank genome assembly. Lineage: Eukaryota; Metazoa; Chordata; Lepidosauria; Squamata; Lacertidae.
GCCUGGAUAGCUCAGUUGGUUAGAGCAUGGUGUUGAUAAUGCCAAGGUGGCAGGGUCGAUCCCCUUAUGCGACA